RNAcentral lists this long non-coding RNA (1114 nucleotides) under Cricetulus griseus (Chinese hamster). RNAcentral describes it as "lncRNA (ENSCGRG00015040147.1)". Lineage: Eukaryota; Metazoa; Chordata; Mammalia; Rodentia; Cricetidae. The record is from RNAcentral.
UAAGGAUUGAGAAAAGGCAGAUGGAAAAAAAAUAGAGACAGAAACACAGAGUAGAUUCAGGAGGACUGUCCGAUCAAUGCCUUUCAGCACACCAGACAGCCCUGGAGUUUAAUUUAGACCCUGCUUAUAUAUGAAGGGGCCAGACCCUCACCCUGCUCCCUGCUUUGGCAGUCAUGACAGGCUGAAAAAAAGACCCAGUAAGAUGUAGGCCUCUGACUCAGCAACAUGUGCUGAGCUUCUGACCUUGCCUGACCUUGCCCCAGCCACUAGGAAGCCAGAUACCCUCCAUGUGGCAAGGAACCAAUCAAAAGUUAGCCAGCUGGUUCUGGAUGUACUUUACGGUAACAGUGGAGUACAGAGCAUAGCAACCGCCCCGGGGGUGGGGUGGGGUGGUAUUUGUGGACUCAUUUAAACCCACCUUCAGUAACUAAUACAGUUACUCUAUCUAGGGAGAUGUGCAGGUUUUGGGAAGCAUGGAAGGGCCUGGUGACAGGUGUCACGGAGUGAGAACUUGGCUCAGGAAUGCCCCUGCCCAGGAGACCAUAUAUUCCUGACAACUCGCUCCAUAGAAAUGGAAGAACCAGGAGUUCCAGUGCCCGUCAAACGUGUGCUCCUCAGAAUGGAAGCACUGUAGAGAGGAUUUCCUGCCAUUGAUGAGGAGAGUCUGAAAGAGAGUCUUUAGGAAAACCAGUGUUAGCCAGCCAGCUGAGCCUAAAUGACUGGAUCCAGAUGGAGCCAGACAUGCGAUGAGACACUGUGCCUGUGAAGAAGAAAGAAAGCCAAUUGCUGCCUCCUGGGGAAUGGGAGUGGUUGCUGUGAAAUCGAAAUUGAAAGAAUCUACAUAAUCCGUGAACUACCACUACAACCAGAAACAACAAAGAAACCAAAAAAGAAAAAACAGUCAGUUCUUCCAGCCCUUCCAUUUCACAAGGUUAGAGGUACCCCUGAUCUCUGCCACAUCUGUGAGUUAUGUCACCCAGACUUAUGGUGGUCUUCUCCAUGUCCCACAACACAGGAUGGUCAUGGAAUUUAUGCUCCAUGCAGAUCUGUGUGAGCAAGAGGUUGGGAAGCUGACUGUCACUCAGCAGCCAUCAGAAACCAAGAAGCCAGUUUC